AGUGGCGGACGGGUGAGUAACGCGUGAGAAUCUGCCUUCAGGAGGGGGACAACAGUUGGAAACGGCUGCUAAUACCCCGUAAGUCUACGGAUAAAACGGUUAAUUCCGCCUGAAGAUGAGCUCGCGUCGGAUUAGCUAGUUGGUGGGGUAAAGGCUUACCAAGGCGACGAUCCGUAGCUGGUCUUAGAGGAUGAUCAGCCACACUGGGACUGAGACACGGCCCAGACUCCUACGGGAGGCAGCAGUGGGGAAUUUUCCGCAAUGGGCGAAAGCCUGACGGAGCAACGCCGCGUGCGGGAGGACGGCCUGUGGGUUGUAAACCGCUUUUCUCAGGGAAGAAGAUCUGACGGUACCUGAGGAAUCAGCAUCGGCUAACUCCGUGCCAGCAGCCGCGGUAAUACGGAGGAUGCAAGCGUUAUCCGGAUUUAUUGGGCGUAAAGCGUCCGCAGGCGGCUAAUCAAGUCUGCUGUUAAAGGCCGAGGCUUAACUUCGGUUGAGCAGUGGAAACUGAUUAGCUAGAGUGCGAUAGGGGUAGAGGGAAUUCCCAGUGUAGCGGUGAAAUGCGUAGAUAUUGGGAAGAACACCAGUGGCGAAGGCGCUCUACUGGGUCGCAACUGACGCUGAGGGACGAAAGCUAGGGGAGCGAAAGGGAUUAGAUACCCC
Molecule: ribosomal RNA, 663 nt
Filed under: uncultured bacterium
Lineage: Bacteria
Description: bacterial SSU rRNA
Rfam family: Bacterial small subunit ribosomal RNA
Source: RNAcentral